Long non-coding RNA from Lolium perenne, 2136 nucleotides. RefSeq lists it as uncharacterized. NCBI's taxonomy places the organism in Eukaryota, Viridiplantae, Streptophyta, Magnoliopsida, Poales, Poaceae. The record is from RefSeq and is a predicted model, not a curated record.
AAAAAAAAACUCCCUUUCCUCCGCUCCGUCCCCAUCCCUCCACCGGCGAUUGCUCCUGCGCAGCGCUAGAACUGCAGCGUCGAGCAUCGCCACCAUAGUGCGCUCACACCAGUGGGCUGCUGCACGGCUGUCGGGCGGUGCCCCCGCCGAUUUAAGCGGCUGCGCUUCGGGAGGCGUCGCCUCGAGGAGCAGCAACGAGCAAAAUGCCAACGUGUGCUCUGUGCAGUAAGCCAUCUCCGCCAAUUCACCAUGGCCUUCACCGCCUCGAUCUGAGGAACGCCGCGCCUCUUCCGCCUGACUGCAGCGCCAGGAGCAGUCGAGACGAAGGCCAUGGCCACGGAUGCUGGGGCCGAAGGCAGCGUCGCAUCUGUUGGUCCUGGAGAGGACAAGAGGGGAACCGCUGGUAGAGUGCUACCUCUGUUUCCUCUCGGCCGUGGCCACCGGUCCCGCGCCCGACGCCAACGUUCAAGCUUUAUCCAUUCCGAACAUGCAGAGACAAUAUAUGAUGUUUCCCUGUUCACUUGCAUGAGAUUAUUCAGAUUUUGUUCAGUGGCAAUUGUUAAUUUGUUAUGACCAUAGUAUGAAUGUACGGGAGACUGGCCUUUCACUUAUUCAGUUUUCAGGUCUUUUGAAGCUCAUAAUUGGAUAUAGAAAAGAAUGAAGGUACUAAGUUUAUAGCAGCUCAUACUGAAGGUAGUACCGGAUUUUAUGAUGCCCAGGUAAAGAUAUGCCCUUUAAAAAAUAACUGUAUUGAACUAUUGUGUUUCUUAGAUGCCCCAUAACUAAUAAUUCUAUAUACAAUUUCAUAGAAGCCCGGCCAAUCAUCUCUUUUUAAUACACAUGAAAACCCACUUUCAUAGAUGCUCAUAAUGAGGAUACCGAUUUCAUAGAUGGACUAUGAUAUUCCAAACUUUGAUUUGUUGUUCAUUUUAUCCACUUCAUAUGAAAACUAUUAAUUUUCUUUGUAAAAUUUGGGUCAUUGAUGAGUUCACAACCAGUGUUUUUUCUCAAAAAGUAUUUAAUUAUCCCUUGCCUGCUGACAGAAAUCUGAAACAUUGCAUCAGCUAUCAACUCCCAGAUUACGGGCUCAAGGCUGUUUCUUGGCCAAUUUCUUCGCUAUAGAAAUUGACAAUCACAUUUCAUUUCCAUGGUGCACAUUUGACUGUUUUAGUACCUCGAUGGAUCGAGGUAUGAUUUAAAAGUUAGUUUGUGGUUACACAUAGGAGCAUGGUAGCUCUCUGUUUGGUCAGACAGUUAAAACCCCGUAUGCUUCAUAUGCCUUCAAUUAUGUUGUCAAAUCCAGUCAUUUACUUGCUUAUGUUAUCAUGCAGGAUAGUUAACCCCGUAAAUGAUCAUAGCAAAUGUCAUCAAAUUGAUAAUUUAAGAAGUGUGUACUACAAUGGGGAGCUCCCGUGACUAAAUUUCUCAACUUGUACAAUAUGCAGUUGUAGGAAAUUUCAGCUAUCCAGGCCCAUCCUUAGCUUAGUCUAGAUGGUGAUAAACCUUGUGCUUGUACUGCACUUGAAACGAUUAAGAAUUUUGUUGUAUUAGCCCAUUUAUUUGAGGUAUUUUUUGUGUCAACUUAUCAACUCAGUUUACUGCAUGCCUAAAAAAACUUCAUAAAACAUGACUAUUUGUGUCCUUCUGCAGCUGAAACAUCUCUAGACAUUCUGACCAUUCUUUGGACAGCGGGUUGACUCUCCUCAUCACUCAUCGGAUACAGUAAUAUUCUGUAAUUUCACGAGCAGGUGAGCUGGAUAGAACAUGCAUUGAAAUGGUGAAGCAAGACAAACGAGUGUGGCAGUUGUUCUUGGCCCUAGGGAGCUUGUUAUGCAGAUGUUUUGUCUUGCAUUUUCUGACAUCGUGGGAUUGAGGCGUUCAUGUGUUCUGGGCUUCUGCAUCGCUGACGCCAGUCCUUGUUGCUGGACCGACCCGCCGUUCCAGACUUGGAAUUUGUUACCAAUAGGGAACAGGCUGUUCACUGUAUUUGAACAAAAAGGUUCAUUUGCAUCCGCAAUGUUGUUCCCCUCGUUGUUUUCUCUCUCUGCUGUUUAGCGUUUGUAAUUAUUUUCAUUCACAAUUUCAAAGAAAAGCGUGCCAAAUUGUCAAAUAUGCUUUAUUGCGAGAUGAAUGAUC